UACGAGACUGAAAAAAAAUAAGGGUUAAGUUCAAAUGACCGCCUGGGGUUUGAGCGGUUUCCCACUUAACUACCUGUAGUCAGUAAAACUACAUUUAAACACCCGACUUUUUGAGUUGAAAUGAAAAACUGAUUUCUGUCAUAACUCUGUUACUUAAGUUGCAUAAAAACUUAAUUACCCUCGUUAUAUAUAAAAGACAGAUGCUUGUUCAUCUCUCUCUCUCUCUCUCUCUCUGUUUUUCUAACAAACAAAAAAUAGAGUAAACACCUUAAUCAACUCAAAUGCAGCGAAACAAUAAUUCCUCGUUAUAUAUAAAUGUUUUCACCAAAUAAAUCUCACAAUCAUUCCUCGUUAAAUUCUAUCAAAACUCUGUAUUGAAGUUAUAAAGCAUAUAUACUACAAAUAUUAAGGGAACCCCAAAACAGAGCAAAUAAUAUACAAGUUCUUGCCAUUCGUAGCUUUUUACCCAUAUGGGGAUUCAUUCCAUUUUGCAUAAGAAGUCUCAGAAAUCUUCUUGUAGCUGUUUUUGGAUUUGAUUUUAUAAUUCCACAUUGAGGAAUGAUAUUUGGAUCCGUCACAACUUAGUAAAGGAAAUUCCUGCAGUUAUCAAAUCUCCUCUUUUGAUUAUGCUGCCAAAAGAGGAAAUAGAAAUCAAUGAUUUUCAAAUUCAGUAAGGCUCAGAUUUAUUUAAGUGGCUGCUUUUGAUUCGUUUGGUUGAUUCAUGAGUAUUGAAAGAAACUAUUGUUUCUUUACAAAUAAAACAAAACAUAGACAAAAAACUAUUAUUAAUGCAAAGCAACCAAGCUUAUUUGUCAAAGAUAUUGGACAUUUCGGUUUCAAUAACUGUAAUUGAAAUAAGAUUUGAAAAAGAAGAAGAAGAUAAUUUUCAUUACCAUUCCAAUGUUGCGAUCCCAUUUUAGGAAAUGCAUCAAAGUUUUAAUCUUUCUAUAACAAUGAUUGAUAUCAGUGAAUGAACUUAUACCAACAGAUCUACACUAAGGACUAAUCUACAUAACAGGUAAAAAAAAAACAUCAAAUUCAGCUAAAAACACACCAAUUGGUGAUUAAAUGAAUAUCAACCGGAGAUUAUAAAAAGCAACCAGAUCCACCAACACUAAAAGAGCAGAAAAACUCACUGAGAUUGGAGUGACGGGCUGUGAAUAGAUCUGGAAUUGGAGUAUGUAUAAAGAUUCUGUUGAACAGCACAAAAAAACAGAUCUAUAAAGGGAUUGCAAACAAUACAAUAACUUUAUGUCUGCUUACCUCUUGCAAAAAGACCCCUAUGCAAAUUACAGAAUCCUCCAACAACAAGACUAAAUUUAAAUACUCACCACCAAUCUUCAAAAUUUUACACCCAAAUUCACACAAAUAACCCAAAAUCUCUUACAUGAAUUUCAACAAUUGUGCCAUCAAAUUGAACCAAAUAGCACUUGAUAAUGUUUGUGUAUUAAAGAACAAUAACAAGACAACAAAUCACUGAAAAGUUGCAAUAAACUCUGAAAUUUUUAGAAGAUAAAGAAAACGCAGAUCAAAAUUAAUUUGUGGAAUCAUUCUCCCCAAAAUUCACUAAAAAGUUGCAGUAAAAAACUCUAAAAAUGUAUGAGUUUUUUAGAGGAAAAAGAAAACCCAAAAAAAUCCAGAUGGAGAUUUAUUUGUGGAAUCAUUCUCCCCAAAAUUCGCACUAAAAAGUUGCAGUAAAAAACUCUAAAAAUGUCCCCAAAAAAGUUGCAAUAAAAAAGUCUAAGAAUUUUUUAGUGAAAAAAAAAACCCAGAUGGGGAUUGAUUCGUGGAAUGAAGCAAAUAUACCCAGAUGGGGAUUCAUCAGUAUGUUCUCCGAUAUCGUAGCUCUUGUCAUUCCCGUUCGACAGUGGGACCGAAGAGCCAAACGGAGUGGAGUCAGGGUAGAUAGGGCUUGGAUCCAAGCCGAAUCCAUAGCCAACGGAGGAACGGUUGCGGAGGAAAAGUUGGAGUAUGUUGAGUCGUCGAAAUCUCCAUUUUCUUCUAAGAAAUUUCUGUAAAUCUUUUGCUUGAAAUGAGAGAGAAAUGAGAGAGAGAGAGAGAGAACGCAAGAGUGAGAAAUGGUGGAGAAGACUGUGGUUUGAAGAAGAAGAAGGGUGUUUUAGACAUUUUCUAGUUUUGUUUUUAUUGUUACGCCCUCUUAUUACGC
This 2167-nucleotide long non-coding RNA is filed under the name Panax ginseng (ginseng). RNAcentral describes it as "long non-coding RNA (PGIN_LNC008371)". The record is from RNAcentral. Lineage: Eukaryota; Viridiplantae; Streptophyta; Magnoliopsida; Apiales; Araliaceae.